This is a non-coding RNA of Danio rerio (zebrafish), 1462 nucleotides long. The record is from RefSeq and is a predicted model, not a curated record. Lineage: Eukaryota; Metazoa; Chordata; Actinopteri; Cypriniformes; Danionidae.
UGAGUGACGCGCUGCUGAUCUGAGGAACACCGAGGAGCUGAGGAGAGAGAGAGAGAGAGUGUGUGUGUGAGAGAGAGAGAGAUGACAGAGCCACAGCGGAAGAGGCAGAAGCUAGAGGAGUCUGAACACUUGCACAGCUCUGCAGGUGAGCACACACACACUCCUCCUCGCUCCUCCAGGCAGACUCAGCUCUCUCUGCACCGCUGGCUGAAGCCAAAGAGCCGCUCUCCGGAGACCCCAGACACCCCGAUCCAGCACACACCGACCCAGCACACUGUGACCCAGCACACACCCUCUGGCUCCGAGCCCCGCAGGAUCCCGCAGUUGUUCAGCAGAGGCCCGGGCAGUGACCGCCGGCUGGCCUGUAUCUCCUCUACUCUGGACUCCUCUUGUGUGUGUGUGUGUGUGUGUGUGUGUGUGUGUGUGUGUGUGUGUGCGUGUGUGUGUGCCGGCUGGCCUGUAUCUCCUCUACUCUGGACUCCUCUUGUGUGUGUGUGUGUGUGUGUGUGUGUGCGUGUGUGUGUGUGUGUGUGUGCGUGUGUGUGUGCCGGCUGGCCUGUAUCUCCUCUACUCUGGACUCCUCUUGUGUGUUCUCCUGUGCUGAUGGUUAUUGAUGAUGAGGCUGAUCUUCAUCAUGUUGCAGCAGUGCAGGGGGAUGAUGUGGGUCAGCUCAUACACACACCGUGUUUCCCCGCCGGGUUGUCCUCAUCACACUGCGGGAGAGGAUGCAGGACUCCACCCUGAGCUCUGAAUAUCGAGGACAGACCAAUCAGAGAGCAGAAUGUCUGCAGCCCCGCCUCCGUCUUCAGAUGUCUCCGUUUCCAAGGCGGGAAAUCUCCGAAAAGAGGAACCGCAGCAGCAAGUGUAAACUGGGCCCGAGCUGAUGCUGGAGCCGCCCGAGCCCGAGCCUGACCCGGAGGAGGAGGAGGAGGAGCAGGAGGAGCAGGAGGAGCUGAGGAGGCGCUGCGGGGAAAGCGAAAGUGAAAGUGCAGAAGGCGAGGGAGAGAGAGUCCGACAGCCGCUCUGCGAAUGGACGGGAAUACACCAUCAUCAUCAUCAUCCUCAUCCUCACCGGCGGCGGAGGGUUCGCAUCCCGGCUGGAUGAGUGUGUGUGUGUGCGCGUGUGUGUUCCUGAUCCUGUGUCCGCUCGCGCUGCUCAGAGCCGCCGCGGUGUGUGUUUCAGUCAUAUAAUGCAGAAUACAGCGCUGUGUGUGUGUGUGUGUGUGUGUGUGUGUGUGUGUGUGUGUGUGUGUAUAUAUGACGGAUCUGUUCCUCCAGAACCUGACGCAGCUCUGCGCCAUGAUGAAGGCCCGCUGGAUCACACACACCGCCCACCGGAAGCGCUCGUGGCUUAGCUUCCUCAGAUCUGCCGCGUGAGACUUUCAUGAUGAUAAUAAUAAUAGCACACACACACACACACUAACACACACACUAACACACACACACACACACACUAACACAC